This is a non-coding RNA of Malus domestica (apple), 767 nucleotides long. The record is from RefSeq and is a predicted model, not a curated record. Lineage: Eukaryota; Viridiplantae; Streptophyta; Magnoliopsida; Rosales; Rosaceae.
UGUAUUAAAUAACCACCGGAUUAAAUAAUCCGGGCCCACCUCCUUUAUACGGUGAACACCCGUUUCCUUAUCCCUCUAAAAGCACGGGACAAUUUAGUCGGAACGCACUCUCGCUCUCUCCUUCUCCUGAGAACGCACUCUCGCUCUCUCCUUCCUCUCCAGACGAUACAAGAAAAUCUCUCGGUCUCUCCUUCCUCUCCAGAUGCACCGCUCCCAGCUUUAAGUGGUGGGACUAAGUAAAUGAAACGCUGGCUAGUUUCACUUCAGUGGUGUGUUGAUCCUUCCAUGACACUUACUUCAAUGGUUUGUAGCAAAAGCUUUGUCUUCGUUUUGUUGUUUGUCUUGUUAGGCUUUCAAAUCUUGUUCCUUUUAAGCUUUUUUAGUUAUUUUAUUCAUUGCAUUUAUCAGAUUUUAAGUGGGGUUGUCUAGGUUUUGUUUGUUAAAUUUCUCUUAUUGGUUGUUUGGACUUAUGUUUGCGACAUUAAUGCAUCUUGCCUUUAUGAUUGCAGGAAAUAUUUGUUUUGUUGAUGCUCCCUGUGUUUGUUGGUGUUUAAGGAGAAAGCAAAGCAGAGGGAAGAGUUUGCAAAGCAGCAGCAUGCAUAUAUUUUGGCUAUCUGGACAAACUGUUUCUUAGUGAAACCAACUUGCAUUUGUAUAUUUUAUGAACUUGGAUAUGUGGUUGGAUUAAUCUAUAUAACGUAAUGACUUGUAGUUGUUUUUUGUGAACCUUCUUUUAUGUUAUUGGAAAAUAUUUUGAAUUUGAUGUA